UUUCAUCCAUGGUCAGCUCUGACGAGACCGGCUAAAAAAGAUCGAGGCUCCAGCGUGCCUAAAAUUCAUGCUCUCACUGCCUCCGUGAUGGCUAAUGCAGCCCUCCCGUGUGAAUAUUUCUCUGAGGUGAUGUCACAGGCCUUUCUUCCUAAAGUCAAUUUACCAAUAAUAUCAAUUCAAAGGUGUUGGUGUUCCUCACCAGCCGCAGGACCCCAGACAAGUUACUUAACUUCUUUAAAUCUGUUUCCUCAACUACACAAUGAGAACAAACAUAGGAUUAUUGAGUGGAUUAAAGGAGAGGACAUCUAGUAAAGUGCCUGCCCAGGUGCCUGCUGCGUGAACGGUGCUCGACUCGUGACAUGGCAACCACUGUAUCAGUCAAGAUUCAUCCAGCUACAGACUAUCCCCCACGAGAUGACAAAAUGGGUGCUGAGACAUCCUCCCAGCUGAGCAGCCACAGGAGAAAGAGAUACCAAGGGAAACCCCUGGAAUGAGAUUUCAUUGGCCUGGUUGGAUCUCAUGUGCAGCUAAUCGCUUGUUCUGGGCUGGAGGGCGCCAUACCCCCUUCUGAAUGGAACGGGACAGGGGCCCAGGCCUUUGACAGCGGCGGAGCUCAUCACCGUUCCAAGCAGGGCCGUGUCACUGGACAGAGCCAUGACCGCGGCAUGGGGUGCGGCGAGCAUCUUCAUCUCUGUAAAUGGGUAAUGUAACUCUCAUUUUAUGGCUGAGAACCAGAGCGGCCAAGCCAUUUCUCCUGAGGUGCGCGGUGCCGAGGCAGGUGGUAGGUCCCUGUGUGCACGGUGGAUGUCACCGGUGUCUAGGGUACAGCGGCACUCGAGGUCCGCCUAGCCAGCAGGGGGGAGCUGGGAGAAGCCACGGAGAUUUUAAACCGACACGUGCGAUAAAAAUAAGAAACAAAGGCCACUUUGAGAUUUUAUAAAACAUGUGAACAUGGGUCCUUGCCGCUCGCACCGUCGUCAUCACAUCCUUGAGAGCGAAGGAGGUUCUCACAUUUCCAUUUUACAGAAAACCAAACAAAAACUUUGAGAGCCUUCUAGCAUGCCCUGGGCUCCACAGCCGUCACAGAAUAACACUGGGGACCCAGUCCACCUAUUCUGGGGCCAAAUCCCACAUCAGUGUCAGUGUGCGUCAGUUCCGCGGGCAGCGCUGCGCCCCGAGAGUCCGCUCUCAGCUCGCACCCCUCGCUCCCGGAAGGUAUUAGAAACUCACAAGACUUCUUCCGGCUCCGCCCCACGCACCGCGGCUGCCCUCCCGCGAGACUGGUUACCUUCACGUCAGCAGCGCCUUGUCUGAAGACCUCACAGAUGGCAGCUGGAGGACGUGCACACAAGGGCCGGAGAGUUGUCAGCGUCUCUGAGUAGGAUUCCCGUGCCGAGUGAG
Ailuropoda melanoleuca (giant panda) is the source of this 1401-nucleotide long non-coding RNA. RefSeq lists it as uncharacterized. NCBI's taxonomy places the organism in Eukaryota, Metazoa, Chordata, Mammalia, Carnivora, Ursidae. The record is from RefSeq and is a predicted model, not a curated record. The transcript has 3 exons.